GCCGCUUCCUGCGCGGGCCGCCGGAGCUGUUCCCCUGCCGGCAUGGCGGGAGGGUUCCUGCUGGAGAUCAGGCGGGGGACGCAGAGCGCCUUGCUGGUUAUCCGCGAGGCGGACCCGCCGAGCUCGCCGCUGGACGUGUGGGUGGCCGCGGACCGUGUGGAAGCGAGAGGCGGCGGCAGCUGCCAGGCGGCGGCGCUGCCGGCAGGGGUCAGCCUGGCCCCGUCCUCCUGCCGCGGCCUGCGCCGCCUCCCCGGCGACGGCCUGCACCUGCGCAUGCGCCUGCGCCGCCCGCCGCCGAGCGCCGACUUGGUUUUUACUUUGAGGGAAAGCCUGAAACCCCAGAAGAAUUACAUGUUUUACUGUCAAUCCUGUGGUGACAUCAUAGUAAAAGACCAGAAAUUUCUCAGAGUUCUUCCUCUACCAAGUGAAAACUGGAGUGCUUUAGUUGAAGAGUGGUGUUGUCACCCUAACCCCUUUGCCAGAAGCACUUUGCACCCUCAGCAUGGUGACUGUUUUCUUGGAGACACUUUUUUUCUGUUGAAUUCAGGAAACGAAUCACAUGUACCUGAAUCUCCCAUGUGCUGCUCAGAGACUGGACACCAUACUUCUCAGAGUGGCUCCAACUUGAAAUCAAAGGAAAACACCAGAGUAAUUUGUAAGCGCUGCAAGACAAUGCUGGGAGAAACAGUAUCAUCAGAUACCAUUAAAUAUUAUGUCACCGAAGUGAUUAUUCAACCAUCUGAAGGAAGUUUCAGCCCAACACCAAGGUCUCAGUUUCUACAGAGCAUGGUUGCUCAGUGUCUUGUGGAAUUGUCCUCUGCUAAAACCACGUUUAGAUUCACUGUAAAAGGGGAUAAUGGAAAAAUCUAUAUUCUGAUAUGGCUUUUAAAUUCUGACACAUUGCUGGUGGAGUCUUUAGGAAGUUCCUCCUCCCACAGUGUUUUUACACUGUUUGGAGAUAUUUUCAUGCCUAGCUCUGGACCAGUGGGGACCUGGAAUGCUGUCAAAGUCCUUUACCAGCCGUGCAUUAAAAGCAGGAAUAAGGAAUAUUUAUGGAUGAUGUAUAUGUGAUUAUGUCAGUUCCCUCCACUUUUCUCUCAGCAAGACUCCUUUCCUCCACCUACAAAUCUGCUGCACAGAUAGAAGAGGUCUUCCUUGCAAGUAACAGGUUCUUGGCAAACAACACCUUAUGCAAACAACCUUGACUGCUGGGAGUGAUAAUGGUAAAUAUUGCUGAAGUGAGAGUUGUAAAAAUGUGUGAAGAAAAUUGAAAAUACGGUUACAUGGCAGUUCAACCAUAACUUGAUCUCAGAAAAUGUAUGUGAAGGUAGAGUUAGAGGAAAAUUACACUUUUCCCUUUAUAGUAGUGUGCUAGGCAAAGCUUUGUCAAAAAGUCAUUGAUAGCUUUUUAUUUCUCAUAUGCAGCUAGUCUCUCUGAAUGGUUUACAGCUUUUGCAGAAGCCUUCUCCUAUGUAAGAAUUUGCUGCUUAUCAUUUGAGAGUUGAAAAAUGACUUCCAGAAGUUGUUCAUUUUAUUAGCUUUAGAGGGACAGAAUAAGCUAGAAAAUUGAGUUUGUGGCUGAAAACCUGGCAUUUUUGAGUCCCAAUGCUUUUAUUACAGUCCAUGUAUAGUGAGCUGUUUAUGAAGCUGUUACAGAUGUAUUCCAGAAUGUUGUUUAUUUGUCCCAAGAAUGGCUUUCAUUCUGUAUAUGACUAGAGUAAUUCACCUCUCAUAAAAGCACCAAACUGUGUCCUAUUUCACUGAUUUUUGUAUGUCUGAAAUAGAAUGCCUUUUCCUAGUGUUUCAGUAACUCUUGUCUGUAGAAAACACAUGGGAGCACACAGGCCAAGAGUUGACUGACCAAGGACUGACCGGUGUUUCACUGUUCUGUGCUCUUCAAGGUGAUUUCUGUAGUAUAAUAAACUUCUUGUGCUAUAUCUGGAAUGAUUAAAUCAGUGGGUGUGAUUGUAAAUAGCAUGAAGGAUCUGUUUAGUUUCAGAUAGGGUUUGGGUUUUUUUUUUCUGUUCCCUUCUUGAAUUCUUUCAUAGUAUCAGGUUAAGAGAACUGAUGCCACAGGUGGGGUAGAUUGCCUUAAAAGAGCUGACUGAGCAGAUAAAAUGGAUAAAUAUACUAUUAAGAUUUCCUAUCACAUUUAAUGUGCUUUUGAAUCAGGAUUUGUGAUUCUGUAAUAUGGUAGAACAAAAAAUACAAUUCAGGCUAUAUAAUAUUCCAUAUUAUUCUUCACAUUUAUUUAUGAAACACUGUAAAUCAGGUAAGCACAAUUUUGGUAGUUCUCAUGUCUCUCUGGUUCAUAUUGCUGUAGCUCAGCUCUUUUGGGAAUCUCAGGAUUGGCAAUGAGAAAAAUGUCAAGUUGGAUGGGAAAAAAAUGUGAAUUAAAAGCAGCAAGACUAUCUGAAACUAAUUUAAAAUGUAUAGUCUGAAACAACUGCAUUUCCAGGUAGUUAAUUCCACUUUUAUAGGAUGAUAAGAAUGUAAGAAAUGCCAUGCUGUGCCAAAACAGCGUACCAUCUAGCCCUCCCUCCAGUAUCCGGAGGUGUUCCUUAGAGUAGCAUGCAAGCCUCAGCACUUCCUUGUACUGCUCAGCUCCGUAGUUGUAUUAAGGAUGUUAGAGGGUACAGACCUGCCUAUUUCCUAUACUGUUCAUGCAUCUUUUGAACAUCUAUUUGAAUAAACACUUUUUGACCUUACUGGUGCUGUCUGCCUCCACCAAUCUCUUGUUCCAGAAAUUCACUACUGCUGUGUAGUACUCUUAACCUCUUCUAAACUGAUCUGCUAGUUUCAGUGCGUUGCCUCUAGAUCUAGGAUUGGGAGUUUAGCGAACAACAGUUCUGCAUCCGUACUGGCAAAAUGGACAUGGGGAUCCUAAACUUUACACUGAGGUUACAGCAUGCGGUGUUCUUGCUGAUUACAUUUAGGAGUUAGAUUACUGGCCAGUUUGCUGGAGGGAGAGCAAUGUCACAUGUAUUCAAGUCUUACUAUAAGACUAUAGGACAUCUCUAUGAUAUUCAUUUUGCUUUCCUUGUAACACUGCUUUUUUAAAAGCCAGAUAGCCUAAAUGCAAUAGUGAUGACCUGUUGAGGGUAAUUUUAUAAUCAUAUGUCAGACUAUAGCAGCUUUCCACUUAGAGGCUUACAGUCUGUUUCCCAUAGACAUAGGAAGACUGUUGGGUUCACUUGGGAACUGUAAGUACUGAACUCCUACAAUGCCUUUUAAAUGACAGGAUCCAUUUGAGCAGGCAGGAAUCCUAUAAUGAGCCAAGAGUGAAAAAAUAAAACUUAUAAAAGCCUGUUGGACAGAUUGCUGACAAGAACUGCUUAAACUGCAACACUUGAUUUACUGAAUUCUGGGAUCUUGGGCUGUUUUAAAUUAAUUAGCAUUUGUUGUUUCUAUUGUAUUUCUCUAUGACAGGCUGUGUAAACAAUACUUAGAUUAACAAAAUUAUUUAGGCUGCUAAUUUUACUUGCAAUACUCUUUAAAUCAGUAAGGCUAAAGCAAAUUGGGAGUGUAUGACUUGAGACCAAGGAAGGCUAAUUUGUGAAGUUGUGCAGGAUAUUUCCAUUUGUGUGUGGCAACAAUAGGAUAUUGCUGUUGGUUGCUUAUUUUGAAUGCUGUAGCAUCAAAACAGAACAAGAAAUUCUUAUGCUGGCUCCUCUGAAUACUGGCCUUAAACUAUAAAUGAAAUAAUUUGUAUAACUAAUAGGCAUAAUAAGUGAUACCUAUGUGGAUAUGAAUGUUUGAGGAAGAAGAGGAGAAGAUCUGACUGGAAAGGUGGAAGGUGUUGUUCCAGGGAAUAAAAUUGCUACAGAGUUUUAGAAUUUCAGUCAAAUCAUUGCCAAAGGCAGGACUAUUAGAUCUACUCAGAAGUGAGCUGUUGGAUUGAUCAUGCCCAUUUUCAUUCUGUGUAUGUUUUAAAAAGUAUUAAAUUUGGUUUAUGUACUUCCCAGAGUGUACACAUUACCAUAAUUCCUGUUAAGCCUUCAAAUUUUUCCUCACUUGACAGUGACACUGACUGGAUUCUGAUGUUACGGAGCUCUCCAUAGUCCCGGAGGCAGGAAUACAAAAAUCACUGGAGUGCUCCUGUGGGCUGUGAUUUUGCUGUCUUUCCUGGAGAAAGCAAAAUUGUACAGUGUCUUGUUGGAAGAUGGUUCUUCAGCGAAAUGACUGCAGGCAUGUGUGUCAACUGGAUGGCUGUGUCUCCAAUGCUGCAGCUGGGGCUUUUCAGCUGGUGCUGAUGGGCAGCUGCAUAAUAUUAGUAGCAGAACUGGUUAGAAAUUGCGUUUUAAACUAAGCACAAUUUUUCUUUUCCCUAUAGACAUUGAUUUUUCUGAAUCGUCUAAAACUGUUUUAUUUUAGUAUGGAAAUGUUGUUGAGGUAGUUGCACUUUCAUAUGUACUUAUUUUUCCUUAUUGACUGGCUUCCCAACUGUCCUGUGUCUCUUAUGGAGCAAUGCGGUUGAGCAAUAUAAUGUGUUUCCUCAUUUUUGUCCACAGUUGAUAUCUUGUGAUGGAAACAAUUGUAUGGCCUACAGAGAACACUGCUAAAGCGUUUCUAAGUAUUUUUUACACUAAAUUUUUUUCCAGAUUUUAAACUUCCUCCAGAAGUUGGGGCAUAUUUUUUAAUGCUGGGGGGGAUGGAAAUCCAGCAUAGUUUUGACCAGCUGGAAUUAAUGCUGGUAAUGCGAAGAAUCAUCAUCUGAAAAAGGGACUUAAAGGGGCUCUAAGAAGAGCCAUCAGAUAUUUAAUGAUAUAGUGCAUUUUGAAUCUAAUAUCGCUACCAAAUGUGAGCUUUACUGGUUGUAGUCACACCUUAAAAAUUUGCCCGUCAAUAUUCUUUACUUCCUGUUUUCAACUGUUUGCGUAUUAUUGCUGCAAACUGCUGUUCAGCUGUUGUGUUUCAAACAGAAAUGGCUGCAUGUCAUUAAUAUUAUUAAGGCCUCUAAUUUUUCAAGCAUGUCAUGAUGAUUAAGAAAUACAAACUCUUGUCUGAGUUGAGAGAUUUUAUUGAAAACUGUAUUUUUUUUUCCUGAAACUGAUGAAACUCUCACUGGCUACCACAAGAAGAAAUCAGUUACUGAGAAGCUGGUUUUUGCCCCCCAACAUAGCAAUUCUGCAGAUGCUUUUAGCACCUCUGCAGCUCUCCUUUACAUGUAGGACCACUGAAUUUAACACAGUUGUCCAGGUGAGUUUCUUGCAUUGCCAACUAUGUCUGAUGCAAGUCUAACUCAGCAAAUUGCUUCAAGAACAUAGUGUAGAUACUGUACCAGAUAACUGUAAUGUUCAUUGAUUGCCUUCAGCAGAAAUUGGAGAGAACAUACAGAUGUAGUUGAUUAUGAAAAAGUUUAGACUGGAGGUUGGAAGCUUUCUAAUAUCAGAGCAGUGAGGUUCCUGCAGAGCCUUCUAGUAGGAAUAUUAUUGUCAAGAAACAGAGUUGCUUUUGAGAUGAAGCAUGAUAAAAUUGCAAAAAGAAAUGCUUUGACACACUGCCUCUUCCUGCAGGGAGAUGAGCUUUUUGGCUGGGAGAGAUGCCUUCUAGUUCAGUUUCCCACUCUGUCAAUGACCUGCCAAAAGACUUUCAAGUUCACCUUCACCAUCUCUUUUGCUCUCUGGAAGCUCUUCAGAGUGACAAGUUUGCAUGUCCGUGGAGAGCCACACUGGUAGCACGGUCUUGAUUGGGCUGCUAUGCAACAAUUUAGUAAUUACUAAGUGUGGCAUUAUUUCUUUACCUAUGGUGUGUUCUCCUACAUCUGAAGUCCAUUCUAAUUAACUUUAUUUGCAAAGGAUUUAUAGUACUUUAUCUGCAGCUGUCUUACUUUCAGCUAUUGCAUCUCCUCUUUGAAUGAGGUCAUUACUCACAGGCUUCUCUUCUCACUGAGCUGGUGUCUGUGACUCAGUCUUUCCAUGCCUACUUUAAUUCCUUUCACCAAAGCUGCGUUUUAGUCUGUCUGUAACAUCAACUCCUGCAUCAGCAUUGACUUAACUUGGCUAAACCUAGGUUUAAUCUUCCAUCUAAAUCCCCUCUCCCUCCCUUUUUUCUUCUUCUGCUCUUGCUCAUGUCCAAACUCAGCUGCCAGGCUGUAUACCUCCCCAUCCUGUUCUUCCUGCUUCUAAGCUGAGGCUAGGUUUCCCUGUUUCUUGAUCCCUAAAAUUUUAAGCAAGCUCAUAAAACUAAAUUAAAGAGCCAAAAUGAUCUGCAUUCACUGAUCUGACUGUGUCAAGGUGUGUGUAUGUGUGCAAUGCAGCCCCCCAGUACUAUCUCAGAAGGGUAGCUGAUGGCCAGUGUGAUUCCUCCAGGUCUGCUUCGUGUCUGCAGCAGGACAGGAGGACUCUGGACAGCUGUAUAAGUGCUGCGGAGGGCUCCGUCAACAUAAGCAUGGAUUAUACAGACACUGUUAAAUCUCUGCCAUAACAGAAGGGAAAAGCUUCAGAAUAGUUGAAAGGGAAAACGUGGGAAUUAGCUCUGAGGAGAGGAGGUGUUAAAACUAAGGACAGUUUUCUGAAGGAUGGAGGAGUUAUUUAUGGAAGAGUAUUUCCAAGCACAGAGGAAACCUGCCAGACAUGUGAGGACACAUACUGGCUGAGGACAGGGAAAAGGGGCUAGUGGAAAGUUGAUCUUUCCAGAUUGGCAAUUAGUCUGCUGUGAGCUUUCGAAGGGGACUCUGGGAUGUAGUAAAAUCAGGUAGUUUGGGCAUUUGUGACCUAUGUAAAAAAUGUUAUGCCAGUUCAUGUUUUUGAAUUAACCUUAAGGUUAUUUUUAGGAAUGGAAGCUGUGUUCUUGACUGCUGGUUUUAUUUAUUUAGGAUUUAAUGGCUUGUUAAAUUUGACUUGUAGCCACACCCGAUAUUUUAAUGUCAGUAUUGUGUCAUACCUGCAUAGAGUAAGCAUCUGUACAAAUUUUGCCACAAUCGUAUUGGUGAAGAAGGAAGAUGAUGAUAAAAAUAAACUGUUCCAGGAAAAUUACGGUUUCAGUGGGAAAGGGAAAAUACGGCAUAUGUGAAGUUCUAACUUUAGUAAUUAGGCUUUUGUUUGGCAAUGGUUUGGAGUGAAUGAGUGGAAAUAAUAGAUUUUGCUGUCAGGGAAUUCGCAGGAUCAACCAAUUCUGUGAUUUGUGGUGUUCCUUACUUUGCUGCAGGUUCAUGUAAUUACAUCAUGAAAUACUGAAUUUCCUUCUCUUCUGAAGUCAGUACAUCAGAAAAAAACCCCAAAACUUUAAAGCAGCAAGCUGAGAGCUUUUUGUGAACAGUAAUUACAGCUUUUAUUUGUACAGCAGGAUAACUUCUCCCUUCGGAUUCAGGCAUAAUGUUCUGGAGUGCCUGGUAUUUGUGAAUACUUCUAUAUGGAAUAUGAACAGCACUGUGGAAGUGAUUUAGUUUUACCCAAAGGUUUAAAAAUUAGAGGCCAGAAAACAUUUUCAUCUUUAUAUUGUUCUGAAAAUCCAUUUCAACUUCUGAAAUGGCCUCCUGCUUGGUAUAAUAGGUCUUAAAAAGGGAAUUAAGGUUUAUGGAGAAUAUGCAAAUCUUCAUGUGGCACAGCUGGUAGGAAUAACCUGCAUGGGAACAUCCAGGGAAGUGCUUUAUGCUGUGGCCAGGGAACCUACAGCUUUAGGUACAGGGCAAGAGCAGCUCUGUGCCAUCACUGAUCAUACAGACCAUCGGUUCAUUCAACUUCGAUUUAAUUUGAUCUUUUUUUUAAAAUUUUUCUUUGCCGCUUGCCUGGUUGAUUAUGCUGAGGAAAUAAGUGUUACUAUUUGUUGCUAGUCUAGGUCCCCGAAUGCACACUUAUUUCAGUGCUGUUAGGACAGGGUGUGAAAGACACCAUCCCUCUGGUACUAAGUGCCGGUGUUAAGGCUGCUGGUUGAUCUGACAGCGCUGGUGAGGAGCAGUGGGACGUAGGCAGUCGGAGAGACCUGCUGGGAAGAUACUGGCGUCUAACAUGAGUACAGUUCACAUCAUUUGCCUAGAAGUUUAAACAGGCAGCUCUGCCUUAAUAAGCGAUAGAUCAGCCAUGAGCUCUGUGGUUAUGGGCCAUUUUUUCUACAUAGUGCCUGAUGCCAUGGUUUGUGGUUAGAGCCUUUACUGGGGACUGUGGUGUGACCACUACUAACAAGGCCAGGGGAUACCACACUGGUUACUGGGUUUGCCUGCCGAUGGGGCACACCACCUCUCUGCUGCUCUCCCUGCACUGCCUAGCUGAGGAACUUAGAUUGUCUCACUUAAGCCAACCCUGCUUUUCAGUUACGGUCUUAGCUGAGGUGACCGUACCAACUGUUCACCCUGCUUUGGCAGCACAGACGUCUGAGCCACUUGACAGUCAAGUCCUUAACUGCUGGCGUUUAGAGCAUAUGGUUGAAGGUAAAUUGUUGCCAAUUUUGGAUUGCUUAAAGACACUGCACUGUGAACUGUGACAGUUUAGGAAAUGAGUGAUGAGCAGUUUGGAUGUCCAGGCAGGGUCAACAGCUGGGACUAGUGUCUUCAUCAGCUAACUCAUCCCUGCUCAUCAAUCAGGUCACUGAGUACCUAAAACUGAGUGAUGCGAAUACCUCCCGGUGUGCUCACAGUGCACAGAACCAACAGGUCACAACAGCUUUACAGUGUUUAAGCGCUUGUUCUGCAUGUCUUCUAUUUUCAGCCGUAAAUACUAAUUUUUUAAAAAAAUUAAUCAUUACUUAAUAAACCUAUGCUGAUUUAUCAUAAUUGCAUCUAUAAAUCCAUUUCUAAUGGCUAGACGCAUGAAUUUCAGCAGUCCCUUCCCUAAGGCCAUAUUAGUCAGCAUGAGCUCAGACUGAUAGGUAGACAACUUUUUUUUCCAGACUCAUAAGGAAGUGUAAAAAAUUUAUGAUGUUGCUUUAACAAGGCCCACUGGGAUUUGAGAUUAUUUAUCUAAGCCCUUAUUAAAGACAAAAACUUUUCUAUGUUUAGCCUGCAGAGCAGAGCUGCUCUUCAGACAGUCCAGUGUACUUUAAAAAUGAAGAGAAUUUGAUAAACAUAGCACUGAAAUCAUGGAGAGAAGUAUGAAGGAUCUUUCCUCUGUAUCCCUUUACCGCAAAGCCAAAGUUACUAUUAACCACUAAUAUAAAAAGAAAAAUGGAGCGACAGCACCUCUUGAAUUUUAAGGCCAUUUCACUAUACUAGGAACCAACAGUGGAAAACUUUUAUCAUUGUUAGAAGGAAACUACUUGCGACAAUGCAGAAAAAAACAGAAGAUGAAAAAGAUCUGUCUCAUUCCCUAGCAGGAGGAUUAAUUCUCCUGUACAAUUAAUCUGAUUUCUCAACCUCAUUCUUCAGCACCCAAAUCUCUAUUCUUUCUCUGUGAGGUAAUUUUUACUCAUGUAUACCUCUGUUGGGACCUCAGUUUAGCAUCCCCUUACUGCCUUCUCCUAGGAAGCUCUAGAAGGAGAAUUAAAUGGAAUGUAUUUCAUAAGAUACUUUAUGUUCAACUCCCUCUUGUUUUCUUUCAGUAAUUAGGAAAUGAAAGUGUUUCUAAGGGCUUGGAAAUGAAAAAUGUGAUGUAAAAUUAGACCAUUUAAUUAAAUUAUAAAAAUUGAACCUAAUAUUUUUAGAAAAAAUAUUUUACAAGAGGCCAUAGUGUGGUUGGUAGAAAGUUUUGUCACAUACUUUCAAAGCAACAGAGUUGCUUUAGACAUUUUCACUCCUUUUGUAAAUGUGAGCAAUCUGUGUAUCCAGAAACUUAAACGCAUUCUUCGUGUCUCAAGAAAUUAUCCAUUCCUCCUUUUGUGAGAAUUAUACAUUGAUAAAUACCUACACUAUUUCAUUCAGUCUUCCUUUGGGUAAGUUUCUGCCAUUUUCAUUUUCAGUGUUUGCUGUUUUGAAGUAAGCUUUGCUUCUGACUUCCUUUUACCAAAUCUGUAAGAGUGCUCCUCUGCCAGCAUUUCAGAGUUAAUGCAUGAUUUCCAUUCUGUAGAUUAUUCGGAGGCACAAUUUAAGCAUCAGACACAAUGAUGUUGCAACCUCAUGAAACCGAGUUCACCACUUCUGCAGGCACGUCCAGAUCCUAUUGUUUAGGGUAUUCUGUCCUCAGACUUAAAUUCCCACACCACAAGAAAAAUCUGUAACACUGCCUAUUUGCUGUAAUGCCUUAAUGGUAUAAGUUACUCUAGUAAAGGUGCGUUUUAUUUUGCCAGUGCCAGAAACCUCAUUUGGAACUGUGACUGGGAAAAUACACUUCCUCUUCUUUGCAAAGCUCCCCAUUCAUCACAGCUUUCUGAUAACUAGCUCUGAAAAGCUGUUCAGUGAGGUUCUUCUGAAAGAAUUUGCAUUGACUGGCAGUCCAUACAGGGCAGUCUACAGCCUCGCUGAUGCAUGGGAAAAUGAUAUUGGAGUUCAUCCUUUAAAGUUUCCAGCAGAAACAUGUUUGGAAUUACUG
This is an RNA transcript of Harpia harpyja (harpy eagle), 10400 nucleotides long. It is a transcript of the gene named ubiquitin protein ligase E3D, with no coding region annotated. The transcript is spliced from 10 exons. The record is from RefSeq and is a predicted model, not a curated record. Lineage: Eukaryota; Metazoa; Chordata; Aves; Accipitriformes; Accipitridae.